AGGAGGAGUAUGACAUUAUUUUAUUAAAAAGCCACCCCUCAUCCUCAUGUGAUGUCAAAGUGAUAACCGAGCCAGUGGACCAAAUGAAAGCCUUACAAAAUAAAUAGAGUAAAGAAUCAUUGUUAAAAUGCAUUU
This is a long non-coding RNA of Rhodamnia argentea, 135 nucleotides long. RefSeq lists it as uncharacterized. The record is from RefSeq and is a predicted model, not a curated record. Lineage: Eukaryota; Viridiplantae; Streptophyta; Magnoliopsida; Myrtales; Myrtaceae. The transcript is spliced from 3 exons.